Molecule: long non-coding RNA, 1137 nt
Organism: Neofelis nebulosa (Clouded leopard)
Lineage: Eukaryota; Metazoa; Chordata; Mammalia; Carnivora; Felidae
Exons: 2
Source: RefSeq, a predicted model, not a curated record
GGGAGAGAUUAUGGGGGCUUGGACUGGAGUGGCGUCAGUGGAGGUGGUCAGGUUCUGGGUGUAUUUGAAGCUAGUGCCAGCACGGCUUCUUGAUGGAUUUGAUCUGGGAUGUGAGACCCAUCCAGAGAAAAGAGGUCGUAGAUUACGUUUACGAUGGGAAAAAUGCAAAUACGCUAGUUCAUCUCUGUGGGAUGGGAUCAUGUGGUUUUUCAGAACGUUCUGUGUUAUAACCACAUCAUAGUCCGACUGCGAUGUACCAGUCACCAGCUAGUUCUAGUGUUGGCCUGCCCCGAGCCCUGGGACGUCUUCCGGCUGCUUCCCCUUUUCCGCCCUGAGAGACCAGAGUUGCACACAAAAAAAGGAUGUGCCGGCCGGCCCUUCAGUCCUGGUGUCACAUUAGCUGACAUCAGAAACUGAGCGGCACGAUUGUGAUGUCACCAGUCCCUCCUCAGCCUUGCCUGCGAGGCUGGGGGCUUCUCGAAGACCCUUCCCCUGGUCCAGGUCAUCUUUCCAUCAGGGCAGGGGGGCUUCAAAGAAAAGCAGAAGCAAAGCUUGAUUGCCUAGCUGCAGCCUGCUCGCAGGGCUCUCACUUUUGCUCCUGCAACCCUGAUGAGUGCCAAAGGAAAUGUGGGCUUCUCUGACUUUAGACUACUCCUCCCCCAAGGAAAGCCAGACCCCGGGUCUGCUAGGGAAGAAAGGAGAAGAUGGUUUGGGUCCUGAGACUGAGCAGGCGGAUAGUCUGAGGGACACAUGACCAUCUGACCUCGGAGAGAAGAAGGAAGACCUGGUGAACUCAUUGUCCUCAUUCAGAGAUGUGACCUGUCCUUGUCUUACUCCUUCUUAUACCAGCUCCAGAAGACAUCAGGCUUUUUCCCAUAUCAGGUGUCUUCUCUUAAAAACAUUUUUUUUUAAUCAAGAUAUAAUUCACCUACUGAUGAUGUUUCAUUAUGCAACUCUUGACAAGCCAUCACCACAAUCAAGAUGAACAACUAUUCCACCACCUCGAAUAUUCUCUAGACCCUUUGUUGUCAAUCCCACUUCCUUUAGCCCCAAUUCCCAGUAGCCACUGACCUGCUUUCUGUGACUAUUAGAUUCGCCUCUUCUGGAAUGUUAUAUAAAUGAAUCAUUCUGUUUAUA